CAGCCGCCGCGGUAAUACGUAGGGUGCAAGCGUUGUCCGGAAUCAUUGGGCGUAAAGCGCGCGUAGGUGGCCAUUUAAGUCCGCUGUGAAAGUCAAAGGCUCAACCUUUGAAAGCCGGUGGAUACUGUAUGGCUAGAGUGUGUCAGAGGGGGGUAGAAUUCCACGUGUAGCAGUGAAAUGCGUAGAUAUGUGGAGGAAUACCGAUGGCGAAGGCAGCCCCCUGGGAUAACACUGACGCUCAUGCCCGAAAGCGUGGGUAGCAAACAGGAUUAGAUACCCCGGUAGUCCCUGUCUCUUAUAC
Molecule: ribosomal RNA, 301 nt
Filed under: uncultured bacterium
Lineage: Bacteria
Description: partial 16S ribosomal RNA
Rfam family: Bacterial small subunit ribosomal RNA
Source: RNAcentral